This 253-nucleotide ribosomal RNA is filed under the name uncultured bacterium. Its description in RNAcentral is "partial 16S ribosomal RNA". It matches the Rfam family "Bacterial small subunit ribosomal RNA", at positions 524 to 776 of the family's 1533-position model. The record is from RNAcentral.
UACAGAGGGGGCAAGCGUUAUUCGGAAUUAUUGGGCGUAAAAGGCGCGUAGGCGGCUUGGCAAGUGGAUGGUGAAAUCCCUCGGCUUAACCGAGGAACUGCCGUCCAAACUGCUUCGCUUGAGACCGGGAGAGGUGAGUGGAAUUCCCAGUGUAGCGGUGAAAUGCGUAGAUAUUGGGAGGAACACCAGUGGCGAAGGCGGCUCACUGGACCGGUACUGACGCUGAUGCGCGAAAGCGUGGGGAGCAAACGGG